RNA transcript from Leucoraja erinaceus (little skate), 5964 nucleotides. It is a transcript of the gene named zinc finger and BTB domain-containing protein 7C, with no coding region annotated. The transcript has 8 exons. The record is from RefSeq and is a predicted model, not a curated record. NCBI's taxonomy places the organism in Eukaryota, Metazoa, Chordata, Chondrichthyes, Rajiformes, Rajidae.
UAUAUAUAUAUAUGUGGGGGCUAGAUCAGUGGUGGUAAGUAAAGAAGAAAGCCACAUUUUUGAAAUGAUGGGGAAUUGAGGGCUAUGGAGAACUGGCACAGAAGAAAAGAGGCCUGGGACAGAUCAGCCGUGAUCACAUUGAAAGAUGGAGCAGGCUUGUGGGACUAAUUGGCAAACAUGCUCCUAUUUUCUUAUGUGCAUAUGUUGUUCUUGUCACUGUUUUCUCAAGAGUAAUUAGGGGUAGGCAUUAAAUGCUGCCUGCAUUUCAUAAAUCAAUUUUAUAAAAUGUACAAACGUCAAUAGUUCUGUCUCACUGAGUAUCUACCGGAUGGCUUGAGCAUUGCAAAGUGCAGCAGCACUGCAAGCGUUAAUGAAGCCAACCCUGAACAGCCCACCUCCUAACCUGGGCGUGUUACAAGUACAGUGCAUGGCUUUAGCUGUGCGAAAAUGUGUAGGAGAGAGUGAAAAAACAUUCCAGCUUAAUAAGAGAGACUGUUAAUAGAGAGUAGGGGGUGGGAGUGGUCGUGAGUUAAUAUCUGGUGUCAUGUGGUUAGAUCACAUUCCUAAUUCUGUCUUCUCAUGCAAAAGGCUGCAAAAGCACUAAAGGGGAUGCCAGAAGAAUGAGAGGUGUGGCAAUCCAGUUCAAACUGCAUGGCAGCAGAGGGGCGUAUUCUUGGCAGCAUUUGUCACUGUUGAGUACCACUGGUACUGCCUUUAAAAGCUGCUGCUGCAGCAGCUCUUUGCAACACUGUAAUUCUGGACAAUGUAUUAGGAUUGCAUUUAGUUAGGUAUUUAGUAUUUAUUUUCAGGUAUUUUUCCGAGGGUACUGUGGAUAGGACAUAUUCACUGGGCAGAAGGAACAAGAAGAGGGAGGGUGUUCCACCAGAUUAUAAACUACAUCACGCCCUUCCUUAAUUGCCACGGGCUAAAGCCAGUUCUGCAAUCCUUGGACAUAUUUCAAUUCUUCCCACUGUAAUGUAUGCAGGCAGAUUUUCACUUUUAACUUCACAUUUUAAAAUCCAGCCAUUUUGACUUUCUCUCUCAUGAACAGCGGUUGACCACACAUACCAAUUUAAAGAUUGCCAUUCAAACUAUAUUUCUGGAUUAAAAAAAAAAAAUUCUAUAUGCAUAUUCAAAAAAUUGGCCUUUAUCCUUUUUCCUUGCCACCGCCCUGUGGUUUCUUUCCUUAAGUACUGGGACCAACCCUUUCCCUUAUCCUCUUGUCACUGGCACUGUGCCUUUCCUGCCGAGAGGACAGGUGAGAAGAACUGCAGGCUGCUGUAUAGCAUGCAAAGCUGUGGGUCUCACUUGCUCCCACUCAUCUUGUCAUUGUGUGUGCGCGUCUCUGCCUUUUGGGCCAGUGAUUCCUGCAAAAAGGAGCUUGCGUGUGUCUGAAGGCACCAACUCUACUGUCGCACCUUUUGGAAUGUCAACUUCCAAUGCAAAUAGUAAUACACCCCUCAUCACAAGCUGGUAUCCAAAGCUCCAGAGCAGACUCUGGCUACAAAGGGGCAGUGGGGAUAAUAUCGAUGGUGAAGGAACUGGUGAUAACAAAUUGGAAGCUUCUUUCCGAUCUCUCUCAACUUUACUUUUGAUAACCUUUGAUGGAAAUUAAAAUUGUCAGUGAUUAAGACCACUUUGCAUAACGAUGGCUGGUGCUGUUGAUGACCUGAUUGGAAUCCCAUUUCCAGACCAUAGCAACACGCUGCUUUGUAGUUUGAAUGAACAGAGGCAGGAUGGUCUUUUCUGCGACGUUGUCCUGAUAGUAAAGGAUCAGGAGUACAAGACCCAUAGGUCAAUCCUUGCUGCGUGUAGCAAAUACUUCAAGGCACUGUUUACCUCAGACACUCUUGGAGAACAACACAAUGUUUACCAGAUUGACUUUGUGACACCAGAAGCACUUUCUGCGAUUUUAGAGUUUGCUUAUACUUCAACCCUCACUAUUAGCAACUCAAAUGUAAAGGAUGUGUUAAGUGCAGCACAGCAGUUGGAAAUCCAGUGUGUUAUUCAAGUAUGCAUUGAUAUCAUGGAGGCAAGUGGCGAGGUGAUCAAUGAAAGUGAACAUUCAGAAGAUGCAACCAUCAAAGAGCUCGAAGAUGAUCCAUCCCAAGACGACGUCAGGAAAUGCCUCCACCAAAAACCUGAAAAAUCUCUCAAACAAGAUCUUGAGCAAUCACCUCAAGAACCUACCAAUGAAUCUAGGCAAAACCAGUGGGGUAGGGAAUGUGAUUUUAAACGCUCCUUGAAUAGCAAUCUUGUAGAAAACCAAUGCAGAGAACUGCCUCAAGAAUUUUUAAACCGAUUUGCGGUUAAUAUUCCUGAUGGAAGCUUGGGACCUGUUAGCGAUUUCUCCUUGGAGUCGUUCUUAAAAGAAGGGUUGAGUUCCAGAGGGAAUUUGCUGAAUGGAGAGAUUCCACAUGGACCAGGAUUAUUUCCUCCCUACUGGAAUGGAGGAUAUAAUGGAUUUCCCCAGCUUGUGGAGAGUCAUGAUGUGGAUCAAUUGCCCCUUAAUCUGGUAAUGAAAAAAGAAAAUAUCAAACAAGAGGUCAAAGAAGAUCUGUCUACAACCACAAGUUUGUGUGACUUUUUUAAAGGUAUUCUGAUGGGAAACAGUCAGAAUAACCUGGACACAUUAAAAGAUGGACUGGAUUUUAAUUCCUAUUUGAAUAUAUUAGGUCCUUCCUAUUUGGCAGCAGUCUAUCCAACUUGGCCCUUGGAUUAUGAGAAAAAAAUGAGACCCAAGGCAUCUCAACAAUGUCCGAUCUGCAACAAAGUGAUCCAAGGAGCAGGAAAGUUACCACGACACAUGCGGACUCAUACAGGGGAGAAACCAUACAUGUGCAAUAUAUGUGAAGUCCGUUUUACCAGACAGGACAAGCUGAAGAUACACAUGCGAAAGCAUACAGGGGAAAGACCCUACACGUGUAUUCAUUGCAAUGCUAGGUUUGUGCAUAACUAUGACUUAAAAAACCACAUGCGGAUACACACAGGCGUCCGUCCUUACCAGUGUGUGCACUGCUUCAAGAGUUUUACCCGCUCUGAUCACCUGCACAGACACAUCAAGAGACUGAGCUGCCGCCUGCCACGGCCUCGGCGGGGCCGUAAACCUGCUGCCUGGCGCUCCACCAGCCUCCUCUACACACAGGGCGGCCCAUCUCAGGGCACAACGUCCAAUGAAAGCGGCAUCAGCAUCCUGCCAAAAGAAGAGGACAGAAUUCCAAAGGCAAGCAAGAUGGAGCUCGGCUACAUUGAAAAGCACUUUAAUGUAGAUGCUCAAAAUUCCAAGACCUUCAUCAGCAACACAGCAGUUGAAGAAAGAGAAAACUUCAUGGCAAACAUGUUGAAUGGGAACCAUGUCAUGGAUGAAAGGGACAGGAGCAUCUUUGCUUUUAGCCUGACUCACAACAAUGCUUUCUCUCACAUACCCCGACACUAUUUCUCAACAAGUGAUCCAUGGGGCAUGCAAUAUAAUCCUGCUGCUUCUAUUCCGGAGACUAAAGAAUCAUAACUGCAGACUGCAUAUGCAAUGGGAGAACUGAUGUUACUUGCUGGAUUUUUAGCUAUAAGAUGAUAAACAGCAAUGGGCCCGACAGCAGCCUGGGGCUCAGCUGGAAUGGGCGCCACUCCAAGAGGCCGAGCACAUGGACCGCACGUGGCCUACAGCGGAGGACACCAAUGGCUACGCUUGGCCAGGCCAACCCUGCAACACCGCCAGGACAAUGGGCCUUUAUGGUCAGGUCAAGAUUCCUGCACUUACAACAACUGGGACUUGAAAAUUGCACCAAACUGAUACUCUGUAUACUGUCUCCGUGAACUACUGCUAUACACUUGUACUGUAUCUGAGAUGUUUAUCUAAGAUGUAACCAAGUGCUUAUAUCCAGUGAUACUUGUACUGAACUGUAAACAAAAAUGAAUUUCACUGUGCCUCAGUAUGUGUGACAAAUAAAGUACCAAUGAACCAUUAUGAAUGUCCAUCUGAUUAAGGUGAUUAGGAUAGGUCUGAAGCUUCUAUCGAAAAAUAUGGGUGAUGUUUUCAAUAUAUUGUCAAUUGCUGAAUCUCUUUAAAGCCAGAGCAUAUUGCAUACACUGAGAAACUUUGAUGGAUUCCCUCUAGUGGUUAAAAACUAUAUAUUAUAGGGACACAAAUGCUUGCUUAACUACUUCAAAGUGAACAUCACAUGAGAAUAGAACGAUAUACAGAGUGUACAGCACAAUACCACCCCUUCCAUGCCAACAUUAUUUGCCCAUUUACAAUAACCUGCUCACAUUAGGUCUGUAUCAUUCUAUGCCUUAAAGGUAUGGUGCACACCCAGAUAUCUGUGUAAAAAUGCCGCUCUGUCUAAAACAAAUGCCCUUUAAAACUCCUUCCACAUCUUAAAUGUAUACAUGAAGUUCUGGUGAAAGCAAAUAAACCUAAAAUGUUAACUGUUUAUUUCUCCACUGAUGCUGGUUCCCCUAUUAAGCAUUUCCACCAUUUUAAGAGCAUUUAUUUUUCAGAAUGCUGGAAUCUUGAUUUUGAAUGCAUGAAUGAAAUUGUUCUGGCAUUGUAAUAUUUUCAAAAGUCAUCAUGGAAAUUUGAAUUAGACUUUUCUCUCAUGAUGAGAAUUUGCUGUUUGGUAUGCUGAGAUGAUGCCACCUUGUAACAUUAAGAUGAUGUAGCAUGAAGAAUCCUUGUAAAUCAGCAGUCAAUGCUUCUGGAAGAAAAUACAGUCCAGUGGUUGGAAUCUCACUUUACAUAAAAGACCACAAUCCAUGAGGAUUGGUGACAACACCUCCUCCACAAUAAUUUUCACCAUCAGAGCCUCGCAAGGAUGCAUUCUCACUCCCUUACUUUUAUACUCACGACAGUACAGCCACAUUCUGGCCUAACUCCAUCUACAAGUUUGCAUUGUGUGGGCCCAAUCUGGUGGGCCAAAUCAUGAACAAUGACGAGACGAAGUACAGGAAGGAGUUAGUAACAUGGUAUCAGGACAAUAACCUCAUCUUCAAUGUCAGCAAAAUGAAGGAGCUUGUUGCCGACUUCAGGAGGAAUGGCGGACAAUAUGCCCCUAUGAGCAUCAGUGGUGCCGAAGUGGAAAUGUUUGAGAGCUUCAAAUUCCUUGAUGAUAAUGUUACCAACAAUCCGUCAUGAACCAAACACAUUGAUGCAAUAGCCAAGAAGUUACACCACCAACUAUAUUACCUGAGGAGAAUUAGGAAGUUUGUCGAGUCUUCAUUGAUUCUUUCAAAUUUCUAUGGAUGCACUGCAGAAAGCACAAGGGGACACAAAGUGCUAGAGUAACUCAGCAGGUCAGGCAACAUCUCUGGAAAACAUGGAUAUAUUAUGAUUUGGGUCAAGACCCUUCCUCAGACUGACUAGUUUUUGGACAUUCAUCCUUACUCCAGGACAUCUGGGAGCUCAACAGAAAGAAAAAAACAGGGCCAACUAUUUUCAGCUGUUUCAUCAAUGAUUGCCAUGCAAUCAUGAUUUAAUUGUAAUCAUGUACAGUCUUUUUUUUUCUGGAUAGCACACAACAAAAAGUUUUGUACCUCGUUUCUUGUGGCAAUAAUAAACUAAACCUCCGAAAUGGGGAUGUUUAGUUGUGAUUGAACAAUGUUUAAUUCAUUCGCAAUGAGAAUCAUAGUUAAACAACAUGGAAACUGGCGCUUUGACCCAACUUGCCCAUGCUAACCAAGAUGCCCCAUCUACACUAGUCCCACCUCCCUGCAUUUGGCCCAUAUCCUUCUAAACCUUUCCUAUCCACUUACCUGUCCAAAUCUUCUCUAUAUAACUAAGCAUCUUUGUCUUGUUUGUGUCUCUGUGUGUGUCAAUCUGGUGAAUUCAUAUCUUCUUCCAAACGCUAGGCCACAGCCUUCCCAUUUUCACACAGCCCACUCACAUUUUUCCCGUGGUGGCGAUAAACAUCUUCCCGUCGCAUUUCCACCUAUAUUUCCGAAGUUAUUCAUCGUUGACAUUUUAAAUAC